Molecule: long non-coding RNA, 423 nt
Filed under: Equus caballus (horse)
Lineage: Eukaryota; Metazoa; Chordata; Mammalia; Perissodactyla; Equidae
Description: lncRNA (ENSECAG00000055328.1)
Rfam family: U5 spliceosomal RNA (bases 1-91)
Source: RNAcentral
AUAAAUCUUUCGCCUUUUACUAAAGAUUUCCGUGGAGAGGAACAACUCUGAGUCUUAAACCAAUUUUUUGAGGCCUUGUUUCGGCAAGGCUACUUAUGUUGUGUUAAAAAGAAGAAUUUGUUUGUGUUAGUACUUGCUUUUUCUGUACAGCACCGAUGUUGUCGUACGACUGGGGUUGUACAUGUCAUGAACGAAGCCCCUGGCCCGGGCCGUGGAAACACUAGGUCUCAGGAAAUGCGGAAGGGAGCUGCAGAGGAAGGCAACGUCCCAUUGAGCGUCCUCAAGAGGAGCCAGUCGUCUGUGAGAAAAUGGAGAUGAGGAAAUAGAGUAGGGGCCUAAAUAGCAAGUCCAGGGCCACUUUGAGGUUUCCAAAGUGUGUUUCAAUGCCACGGCUCAAGGAAUGCAAAUAAAAGCCAAGGAAGA